GCACGAGAAGGGGCUUCGGCCCUGGUAAAGUGGCGCACGGGUGAGUAACACGUGGGUAACGUUCCCUCAGGCGGGGAAUAACCUUCCGAAAGGAACGCUAAUACCGCAUACGCCCUACGGGAGAAAGCAGGGGACCUUCGGGCCUUGCGCUAUCAGAUGAGCCUAGGUCGGAUUAGCUAGUUGGUGAGGUAAUGGCUCACCAAGGCGACGAUCCGUAACUGGUCUGAGAGGAUGAUCAGUCACACUGGAACUGAGACACGGUCCAGACUCCUACGGGAGGCAGCAGUGGGGAAUAUUGGACAAUGGGCGAAAGCCUGAUCCAGCCAUGCCGCGUGUGUGAAGAAGGUCUUCGGAUUGUAAAGCACUUUAAGUUGGGAGGAAGGGUUGUAGAUUAAUACUCUGCAAUUUUGACGUUACCGACAGAAUAAGCACCGGCUAACUCUGUG
RNAcentral lists this ribosomal RNA (446 nucleotides) under uncultured bacterium. RNAcentral's name for it is "bacterial SSU rRNA". It matches the Rfam family "Bacterial small subunit ribosomal RNA", at positions 64 to 507 of the family's 1533-position model. The record is from RNAcentral.